UUUGUUUCUUGGACCCUGAAGUAAAAACAUAGCCAAAAGGCCAGAUUGAGGGAAAGAUCAAGCACAGUAUCUGUUAUCAGUUUAAUAUCUGAUAUGUCCUUUAUUUGAGGACUGUAUAUUAAAUUGAUUUUUGAAACAUAGUAAAGAGCCACUUAUACAACACUGCCAAAUUCGUCUCUUGAGCUUUAACUAUUAACUUUUUUCUGAAUUGUAUUAUCACAGUGCAUAAGAAACCCAGU
This 239-nucleotide small nuclear RNA is filed under the name Chelydra serpentina (North American snapping turtle). RNAcentral describes it as "U2 spliceosomal RNA (ENSCSRG00000002318.1)". The stretch from base 41 to 239 matches the Rfam family "U2 spliceosomal RNA". From Rfam's summary of the family: U2 is a small nuclear RNA (snRNA) component of the spliceosome (involved in pre-mRNA splicing). Complementary binding between U2 snRNA (in an area lying towards the 5' end but 3' to hairpin I) and the branchpoint sequence (BPS) of the intron results the bulging out of an unpaired adenosine, on the BPS, which initiates a nucleophilic attack at the intronic 5' splice site, thus starting the first of two transesterification reactions that mediate splicing. The record is from Rfam by way of RNAcentral. Lineage: Eukaryota; Metazoa; Chordata; Testudines; Chelydridae.